UGGGGAAUUUUUGGCAAUGGGCGCAAGCCUGACCAAGCAACGCCGCGUGGGUGAUGAAGUCUCUUGGUACGUAAAACCCUUUCGGCAGGAACGAACACAAUGACGGUACCUGCGGAAGAAGCCCCGGCUGACUCCGUGCCAGCAGCCGCGGUAAUACGGGGGGGGGCAAGCGUUGUUCGGAAUUACUGGGCGUAAAGGGCGCGUAGGCGGUUGGAUAAGUUGGUGGUGAAAACCUCGAGCUUAACUCGGGGCCUGCCAUCAAUACUGUCUGGCUGGAGUGUGGGAGAGGAGAGUGGAAUUCCCGGUGUAGCGGUGAAAUGCGUAGAUAUCGGGAGGAAAACCGGUGGCGAAGGCGGCUCUCUGGACCACAACUGACGCUGAAGCGCGAAAGCUAGGGGAGCAAACAGG
Molecule: ribosomal RNA, 408 nt
Filed under: Actinomycetes bacterium
Lineage: Bacteria; Bacillati; Actinomycetota; Actinomycetes
Description: Actinobacteria bacterium partial 16S ribosomal RNA
Rfam family: Bacterial small subunit ribosomal RNA
Source: RNAcentral